Molecule: unclassified non-coding RNA, 352 nt
Filed under: soil metagenome
Description: partial contains 5.8S ribosomal RNA, internal transcribed spacer 2, and large subunit ribosomal RNA
Rfam family: 5.8S ribosomal RNA (bases 1-120)
Source: RNAcentral
GAUGAAGAACGUAGCGAAAUGCGAUAAGUAAUGUGAAUUGCAGAAUUCAGUGAAUCAUCGAAUCUUUGAACGCACAUUGCGCCCGCCAGUAUUCUGGCGGGCAUGCCUGUUCGAGCGUCAUUACAACCCUCAGGCCCCCGGGCCUGGCGUUGGGGAUCGGCGGAGCCCCCCGUGGGCACACGCCGUCCCCCAAAUGCAGUGGCGGUCCCGCCGCAGCUUCCAUCGCGUAGUAGCUAACACCUCGCGACUGGAGAGCGGCGCGGCCACGCCGUAAAACACCCAACUCUUCUGAAGUUGACCUCAAAUCAGGUAGGACUACCCGCUGAACUUAAGCAUAUCAAUAAGCGGAGGA